UGAGUAGAGUGGCGCACGGGUGAGUAACGCGUGGAUAAUCUGCCUCUGCAUUGGGAAUAACAGCUGGAAACGGCUGCUAAUACCGAAUACGCUCAAGCAGAACUGUUUGAGGAAAGAGGGCCUCUGAAUAUGCUUUCGUGCAGAGAUGAGUCCGCGUCCCAUUAGCUAGUUGGCGGGGUAACGGCCCACCAAGGCGACGAUGGGUAGCCGAUUUGAGAGGAUGAUCGGCCACAUUGGAACUGAAACACGGUCCAAACUCC
This 260-nucleotide ribosomal RNA is filed under the name uncultured bacterium. Its description in RNAcentral is "partial 16S ribosomal RNA". It matches the Rfam family "Bacterial small subunit ribosomal RNA", at positions 87 to 339 of the family's 1533-position model. The record is from RNAcentral.